AGAGUUUGAUCCUGGCUCAGGAUGAACGCUAGCUACAGGCUUAACACAUGCAAGUCGAGGGGAAACGACAUCGAAAGCUUGCUUUUGAUGGGCGUCGACCGGCGCACGGGUGAGUAACGCGUAUCCAACCUGCCCACCACUUGGGGAUAACCUUGCGAAAGUAAGACUAAUACCCAAUGACGUCUCUAGAAGACAUCUGAAAGGGAUUAAAAGAUUUAUCGGUGAUGGAUGGGGAUGCGUCUGAUUAGCUUGUUGGCGGGGUAACGCCGACAAGGCUACGAUCAGUAGGGGUUCUGAGAGGAAGGUCCCCCACAUUGGAACUGAGACGCGGUCCAAACUCCUACGGGAGCA
RNAcentral lists this ribosomal RNA (351 nucleotides) under uncultured bacterium. RNAcentral describes it as "bacterial SSU rRNA". It matches the Rfam family "Bacterial small subunit ribosomal RNA", at positions 8 to 349 of the family's 1533-position model. The record is from RNAcentral.